AUGAAGAGCAGGGGGCCCACACCCUUUCCACGAGGGUGGGGGGCGCCCCUCCCCCACCCUAGGGCGCGCCCCCUACCUCGUGGGCCCCCUGGUGGCUCUCCGAUGACCAUCUUCUCCUAUAUGAAGUCCUUCGUCGAGAAAAAAAGAAGAAGCAACCUUUCGGGACGAAACUCCGCCGCCACGAGGCGGAACCUUGGCGGAUCCAAUCUAGAGCUCCGGCAGAGCUGUUCUGCCGGGGAAACUUCCCUCUCGGAGGGGGGAAUCGUCGCCAUCGUCAUCACCAACGCUCCUCUCAUCGGGAGAGGGUAA
This 309-nucleotide ribosomal RNA is filed under the name Triticum aestivum (bread wheat). RNAcentral describes it as "partial small subunit ribosomal RNA". Lineage: Eukaryota; Viridiplantae; Streptophyta; Magnoliopsida; Poales; Poaceae. The record is from RNAcentral.